CAAAUUAAAGCUAAAAUAGCAUUAUUAUUUACAUUAAUAAUAUGUCUGUGAGAUUCAGACUAAUUUGA
RNAcentral lists this transfer RNA (68 nucleotides) under Tuxedo cruralis. RNAcentral's name for it is "tRNA-Val". The record is from RNAcentral. Lineage: Eukaryota; Metazoa; Arthropoda; Insecta; Hemiptera; Miridae.